Molecule: long non-coding RNA, 616 nt
Organism: Beta vulgaris subsp. vulgaris (sugar beet)
Lineage: Eukaryota; Viridiplantae; Streptophyta; Magnoliopsida; Caryophyllales; Amaranthaceae
Exons: 2
Source: RefSeq, a predicted model, not a curated record
UAUGCAGUUAUAGUGCGUAUUAAAUUUAGUAUAGAAGCCUCAAAAAAAGUUAGAAGCUUCGAAAACUUUCUCAAUCCCACCAUACUCGAAGCCACGCACGGCGCACAAUCACCAAAACCCCAAACCAGUAAACCACCACUCCCCAUAAUUCAAAUUCUCCCAGCUGCACCAAAAUCCCCUCAAUUCUCAAUUCAAUUUGCAAGUGAAUUCGCAGUUUUAAAACUGGAAUUUAUCAUUCCCAAUUGUUAAUCUCCAUUGACGGGUUCAAUUCACCACUCGUAGCUCCAUACAAUCCAUCACCGCUGACCACUCGAAUUUUCUCGUUAUUCCGCUUUAUUGAUUACCAAUGGCCGCCGCGUCCACUGUAGAGCAGUUUUUGCGCCUCCCUCUCUUAGGUCUAGUCGGAUCUACUUCCGCUUUAGAAUUGCUCCUUUUCUAUCCUGCACUCCAAUACUCGCACUAGCUGCUCUGGAGCGAACUCGGGAUUGUUCCGAAGCCUUUCGCCUUAAAGGAACGUAGUCGCUUAAGCGAAGCUUUCGGUUGGAAAGGUUUACUUUGACUUUUUCGAGAGGAACAAGCAACGGGUGAGCUACCGCUUUCUUAGUUGCUUGUUCAG